GCGAGUGAAGAGGGAAAAGCUCAAAUUUUAAAUCUGUUAGGUUUGCCUAACCGAGUUGUAAUUUGAAGAAGCGUUUUCUGCGAUUUUGGUUAGUCCAAAUCCUUUGGAAUAAGGUAUCAUGGAGGGUGAGAAUCCCGUUCGGUUAACCAAAGCGCUUUACGAUACGCUUUCAAAGAGUCAGGUUGUUUGGGAUUGCAGCUUAAAAUGGGAGGUAAAUUUCUCCUAAGGCUAAAUAUUGGCGAGAGACCGAUAGCGAACAAGUACCGUGAGGGAAAGAUGAAAAGAACUUUGAAAAGAGAGUUAAACAGUACGUGAAAUUGUUGAAAGGGAAACGAUUAAAGUCAGUCGUACCUACGAGUAAUCAACCUACUCGAGUGCGAUUUUGUGGGUAUGUUGGAGCUUAAAAACCUUCAUGCUUACAAAUUGGUGCUCUUUGGGCGUACUUUCUCGUAUGGUAGGUUAACAUCAAUUUCGAUCGUUAUAAAAUGACUGGAGGAAUGUAGCUUCGAUUUCGGUUGAAGUGUUAUAGCCUUUGGUAGAUGUAAUGAUUGGGAUUGAGGAUUGCAACGGAUACCCUCUGGGCUAUUCGUCUGAUCUCUGGAAGUUACCUUGGUGUCGAAAGCGUGCUUACGAUAUUAAGGUUGACGGCCAAUAGGUUAGAACGUGAUUAAAUUCGUUAAGGAUGU
Molecule: ribosomal RNA, 686 nt
Filed under: Oehlia diaphana
Lineage: Eukaryota; Fungi; Glomeromycota; Glomeromycetes; Glomerales; Glomeraceae
Description: partial large subunit ribosomal RNA
Rfam family: Eukaryotic large subunit ribosomal RNA
Source: RNAcentral